RNAcentral lists this transfer RNA (71 nucleotides) under Loxodonta africana (African savanna elephant). It matches the Rfam family "tRNA". Rfam says of the family: Transfer RNA (tRNA) molecules are approximately 80 nucleotides in length. Their secondary structure includes four short double-helical elements and three loops (D, anti-codon, and T loops). The record is from Rfam by way of RNAcentral. Lineage: Eukaryota; Metazoa; Chordata; Mammalia; Proboscidea; Elephantidae.
GCAUUGAUGGUUCAGUGGUAGAAUCCUCACCUUCCAUAUGGGAGGCCUGGGUUUGAUUCCCGGCCAAUUCA